Molecule: non-coding RNA, 334 nt
Organism: Pseudonaja textilis
Lineage: Eukaryota; Metazoa; Chordata; Lepidosauria; Squamata; Elapidae
Source: RefSeq, a predicted model, not a curated record
GGCGCUCUGCGCAGGCGUUCAGCUGCUGGCAUGGUGGCUCUUUGCAAAGCAGCUGUUUUGGGUUUGAAAUUCCAACAUGGCAGAGGCUGCGGUCAGUCUUCCCUUCAAAAACUUGGAAUGAUUUCAAAUCGGAGGCGUCUUCGCUUUAACCCGAGCCCCAAUUCAUCAGCGCGCCGUAAGAAUCGAUUGUGCCCGACCCUCCAGGUUAAAUGAAUACCUGACGAAAAGGCCGAGGUUUCAAGGCAAGUGACAUUUGAUAGCGGAGGGGAAAAGUGGCAUUCAUGAAAAGCAAGCUUUGGAAUUCCUGCUUGUGAGAAGAAGGAGAGGAGCAAAA